AACGAAAAGUGGCGCACGGGUGCGUGACGCGUAUGCAACCUACCUUAUUCAGGGGGAUAGCCCGAAGAAAUUCGGAUUAACACCGCAUAAAAUCACAGACCAGCAUUGGUUAAUGAUCAAAUAUUUAUAGGAAUAAGAUGGGCAUGCGUGUCAUUAGCUAGUUGGCGGGGUAACGGCCCACCAAGGCGACGAUGACUAGGGGAUCUGAGAGGAUGACCCCCCACACUGGUACUGAGACACGGACCAGACUCCUACGGGAGGCAGCAGUAAGGAAUAUUGGUCAAUGGAGGCAACUCUGAACCAGCCAUGCCGCGUGCAGGAAGACAGCCCUCUGGGUCGUAAACUGCUUUUAUUCGGGAAUAAACCUUUCUACGUGUAGAGAGCUGAAUGUACCGAAGGAAUAAGGAUCGGCUAACUCCGUGCCAGCAGCCGCGGUAAUACGGAGGAUCCAAGCGUUAUCCGGAUUUAUUGGGUUUAAAGGGUGCGUAGGCGGCUUAUUAAGUCAGGGGUGAAAGACGGUGGCUCAACCAUCGCAGUGCCUUUGAUACUGAUGAGCUUGAAUGAACUAGAGGUAGGCGGAAUGUGACAAGUAGCGGUGAAAUGCAUAGAUAUGUCACAGA
Molecule: ribosomal RNA, 620 nt
Filed under: uncultured Pedobacter sp.
Lineage: Bacteria; Pseudomonadati; Bacteroidota; Sphingobacteriia; Sphingobacteriales; Sphingobacteriaceae
Description: bacterial SSU rRNA
Rfam family: Bacterial small subunit ribosomal RNA
Source: RNAcentral